AAGAAAAGAAAAGAAAAAAAAAUUUAGAAAGCCCUUCCUCUUCCCAAGUUGCCGCCCCACCUUCUCCAUGAGCCCUCCAUGGGAACUUCACCAUUAAAGCUUGCUUCAAGCUUUUAAACACCCAUUUGAUCUUACCUUACCCCAAAUUCACCCAUAAAAACUUGUUUUAGUUACUUGAAAAGGAGAUUGAUCAUCAAAGAAAGAAGAAAAGAGGAGAGAAAAUAGAGAAUUCAAAUUCAAGUGAGG
RNAcentral lists this unclassified non-coding RNA (246 nucleotides) under Hevea brasiliensis (rubber tree). The record is from RNAcentral. Lineage: Eukaryota; Viridiplantae; Streptophyta; Magnoliopsida; Malpighiales; Euphorbiaceae.